CCUACGGGUGGCAGCAGUGGGGAAUAUUGCGCAAUGGGCGAAAGCCUGACGCAGCGACGCCGCGUGAGGGAUGAAGGUCCUCGGAUCGGAAACCUCUGUCAGCAGGGAAGAAAGGUCACUGUGCUAAUCAGCAGUGAAUUGACGGUACCUGCAAAGGAAGCACCGGCUAACUCCGUGACAGCAGCCGCGGUAAUACGGAGGGUGCGAGCGUUAAUCGGAAUUACUGGGCGUAAAGCGCGCGUAGGCGGUAUGUCAAGUCAAGGGUGAAAGCCCCGCGCUCAACGUGGGAAAUGCCUUUGAAAAUGGCAGACGUGAGUGUGUGAGAGGAUGGUGGAAUUCGUGGUG
RNAcentral lists this ribosomal RNA (345 nucleotides) under uncultured bacterium. RNAcentral's name for it is "partial 16S ribosomal RNA". It matches the Rfam family "Bacterial small subunit ribosomal RNA", at positions 338 to 675 of the family's 1533-position model. The record is from RNAcentral.